GAUGAACGCUGGCGGCGUGCCUAAUACAUGCAAGUCGAGCGAACGGACGAGAAGCUUGCUUCUCUGAUGUUAGCGGCGGACGGGUGAGUAACACGUGGAUAACCUACCUAUAAGACUGGGAUAACUUCGGGAAACCGGAGCUAAUACCGGAUAAUAUUUUGAACCGCAUGGUUCAAAAGUGAAAGACGGUCUUGCUGUCACUUAUAGAUGGAUCCGCGCUGCAUUAGCUAGUUGGUAAGGUAACGGCUUACCAAGGCAACGAUGCAUAGCCGACCUGAGAGGGUGAUCAGCCACACUGGAACUGAGACACGGUCCAGACUCCUACGGGAGGCAGCAGUAGGGAAUCUUCCGCAAUGGGCGAAAGCCUGACGGAGCAACGCCGCGUGAGUGAUGAAGGUCUUCGGAUCGUAAAACUCUGUUAUUAGGGAAGAACAUAUGUGUAAGUAUCUGUGCACAUCUUGACGGUACCUAAUCAGAAAGCAACGGCUAACUACGUG
This 497-nucleotide ribosomal RNA is filed under the name uncultured bacterium. Its description in RNAcentral is "partial 16S ribosomal RNA". It matches the Rfam family "Bacterial small subunit ribosomal RNA", at positions 28 to 507 of the family's 1533-position model. The record is from RNAcentral.